This 490-nucleotide ribosomal RNA is filed under the name uncultured bacterium. RNAcentral's name for it is "bacterial SSU rRNA". It matches the Rfam family "Bacterial small subunit ribosomal RNA", at positions 29 to 536 of the family's 1533-position model. The record is from RNAcentral.
AUUGAACGCUGGCGGCAUGCCUUACACAUGCAAGUCGAACGGCAGCACGGGAGCAAUCCUGGUGGCGAGUGGCGAAACGGGUGAGUAAUAUAUCGGAACGUGCCCAGUCGUGGGGGAUAACGCAGCGAAAGCUGUGCUAAUACCGCAUACGAUCUAUGGAUGAAAGCGGGGGAUCGCAAGACCUCGCGCGAUUGGAGCGGCCGAUAUCAGAUUAGGUAGUUGGUGGGGUAAAGGCCCACCAAGCCAACGAUCUGUAGCUGGUCUGAGAGGACGACCAGCCACACUGGAACUGAGACACGGUCCAGACUCCUACGGGAGGCAGCAGUGGGGGAUUUUGGACAAUGGGCGAAAGCCUGAUCCAGCGACGCCGCGUGGAGGACGAAGCCCUUCGGGGUGUAAACUCCUUUUCUUCAGGGAAAAAGGAUGAUGGUACCUGAGGAAUAAGCCCCGGCUAACUACGUGCCACGCAGCCGCGGUAAGGAGUAGUACA